GGUGGUUAAGUGGUAGAAUGCUUGCCUUGAAUGCAUGAGGCCCUGAGUUCAAUUCCUCAGCACCA
This 65-nucleotide transfer RNA is filed under the name Dipodomys ordii (Ord's kangaroo rat). It matches the Rfam family "tRNA". Rfam says of the family: Transfer RNA (tRNA) molecules are approximately 80 nucleotides in length. Their secondary structure includes four short double-helical elements and three loops (D, anti-codon, and T loops). Further hydrogen bonds mediate the characteristic L-shaped molecular structure. tRNAs have two regions of fundamental functional importance: the anti-codon, which is responsible for specific mRNA codon recognition, and the 3' end, to which the tRNAs corresponding amino acid is attached (by aminoacyl-tRNA synthetases). tRNAs cope with the degeneracy of the genetic code in two manners: having more than one tRNA (with a specific anti-codon) for a particular amino acid; and 'wobble' base-pairing, i.e. permitting non-standard base-pairing at the 3rd anti-codon position. The record is from Rfam by way of RNAcentral. Lineage: Eukaryota; Metazoa; Chordata; Mammalia; Rodentia; Heteromyidae.